AACGAACGUUGGCGGCGUGGAUGAGGCAUGCAAGUCGCGGGAAUCCCAGCAAUGGGGGAACCGGCGUAAGGGGCAGUAAGGCGUAGGUACCUACCGCGUGGUCCGGGAUAGCCCGCCGAGAGGCGGGGUAAUACCGGAUGACCUCGGGAGAGCAAAGCUCCGGCGCCAUGGGCGGGGCCUACGUGAUACUACCUAGUUGGCGGGGUAACGGCCCAGCAAGGGGGAGAUGUCUAGUGGGUGGGAGAGCACGACCCGCGCCACUCGCACUGAGACACUGGCGAGACACCUACGGGUGGCUGCAGUCGAUGAUCUUCGGCAAUGCGCGCAGGCGCGACCGAGCUACGCCGCGUGGGCGACGAAGGCCUUCGGGUUGUAAAGCCCUGUCGAGGGGGAGAAAGGGGAAACCCGGAUCCAUCCCUGGAGGAAGCUCGGGCUAAGUUCGUGCCAGCCGCCGCAGUAA
This 460-nucleotide ribosomal RNA is filed under the name uncultured bacterium. RNAcentral describes it as "partial 16S ribosomal RNA". It matches the Rfam family "Bacterial small subunit ribosomal RNA", at positions 28 to 523 of the family's 1533-position model. The record is from RNAcentral.